RNAcentral lists this long non-coding RNA (1136 nucleotides) under Sus scrofa (pig). RNAcentral describes it as "lncRNA (ENSSSCG00070009772.1)". The record is from RNAcentral. Lineage: Eukaryota; Metazoa; Chordata; Mammalia; Artiodactyla; Suidae.
AUUUUUAUUUUUUUUUAUAUUUAUUUUGCUUCUUAGGGCCCCAUCCACAGCAUAUGGAGGUUCCCAGGCUAGGGGUCCAAUCGGAGCCACAGCUGCCGGCCUACACCACAGCCACAGCAAUGCAGGAUCCAAGCCGUGUCUGCGACCUACACCACAGCUCAUGGCAACACCAGAUCCUUAAUCUACUGAGUGAGGCCUGGGAUCAAACCUGCAACCUCAUGGUUCCUAGUCAGAUUCAUUUCCGCUAUGCCACAACGGGAAUAGAAGGGGGGGGGGGAGAGGAGGGGAGGGGAGAGGGAGGAGAGGAGAGGAGAGGAGAGGAAGGAAGGAAAGGAAAGGAAAGGAAGGAAGGAAGGAAAGGGAGAGAAAGAAAGAGAGAGAGAAAGAGAGAGAGAGAAAGAAAGAGAGAGAGAGAGAGAAAGAAGAAAGAGAGAAGGAAGGAAGGAAGGAAAGAAAGAGAAGGAAGGAAGGAAGAGAAGAAGAAAGAAAGGAAGAAAGAAAGAGAGAGAGAAAGAGAAGAGAGAGAGAAAGAAGAAAGAGAAGAGAGAAAGAAAGAGAGAGAGAAGAAAGGAAGAAGAAGAAAGAGAGAGAAAGAAAGGAAGAGAAAGAAAGAAAGAGAAGAGGAGAGGAAAGAAAGAAAGAGAAGAAAGAAAGAGAAAGAAAGAAGAGAGAAAGAAAGAAGAAGAAAGAGAGAAAGCAAAGAAGAAGAAGGAAAGAAGAAAAGAAGGAAGAAAGAAAGAGAGGAGAGAAAGAAAGAAAGAAGAAGAAGAAAGAAGGAGAAGAAGAAGAAGAAGGAGAGAGAAAGAAAGAGAGAGAGAAGAGAGAGAAAGAAAGAGAGAGAGAGAAAGAAAGAAAGAGAGAAGGAAGGAAGGAAGGAAAGAAAGAAACGAAGGAAGGAAGGAAGGAAGGAAGGAAAGAAAGAAAGAAAGAAAGAAAGAAAGAAAAAGAAAGGGAGAGAAAGAAAGAAAGAGAGAGAGAGAGAAAGACAGAAAGACAGAAAGACAGAAAGACAGAAAGAAAGAAAGAAAGAAAGAAAGAAAGAAAGAAAGAAAGAAUUUGUUGCUUCCAAAGAAGGUAACGAGGUAGUGGAGAGAUUUUUUUAACAUAUACCGUUGUGCGCUUUUUCCAUUUUUUAC